UUAGUAGACAGAAGCCUCGGUGGAAGAUUACUAAUGAGAGUGGCGAACGGGUGAGUAACGCGUGAGCAACCUGCCUAUGACAGUGGGAUAGCCUCGGGAAACCGGGAUUAAUACCGCAUAAAAUCGUAGAAACACAUGUUUCAACGGUCAAAGAUUUAUCGGUCAUAGAUGGGCUCGCGUCUGAUUAGCUAGUUGGUGAGAUAACAGCCCACCAAGGCGACGAUCAGUAGCCGGUCUGAGAGGAUGAACGGCCACAUUGGAACUGAGACACGGUCCAAACUCCUACGGGAGGCAGCAGUGGGGAAUAUUGCACAAUGGGGGGAACCCUGAUGCAGCGACGCCGCGUGAACGAAGAAGGUAUUCGUAUCGUAAAGUUCUGUCCUAUGGGAAGAUAAUGACAGUACCGUAGAAGAAAGCUCCGGCUAAAUACGUGCCAGCAGCCGCGGUAAUACGUAUGGAGCGAGCGUUGUCCGGAAUUAUUGGGCGUAAAGGGUACGCAGGCGGUUUAAUAAGUCGAAUGUUAAAGAUCGGGGCUCAACCCCGUAAAGCAUUGGAAACUGAUAAACUUGAGUAGUGGAGAGGAAAGUGGAAUUCCUAGUGUAGUGGUGAAAUACGUAGAUAUUAGGAGGAAUACCAGUAGCGAAGGCGACUUUCUGGA
This 658-nucleotide ribosomal RNA is filed under the name uncultured Eubacteriales bacterium. RNAcentral describes it as "bacterial SSU rRNA". It matches the Rfam family "Bacterial small subunit ribosomal RNA", at positions 62 to 733 of the family's 1533-position model. Lineage: Bacteria; Bacillati; Bacillota; Clostridia; Eubacteriales. The record is from RNAcentral.